This 710-nucleotide ribosomal RNA is filed under the name uncultured Chryseolinea sp. Its description in RNAcentral is "bacterial SSU rRNA". It matches the Rfam family "Bacterial small subunit ribosomal RNA", at positions 94 to 803 of the family's 1533-position model. Lineage: Bacteria; Pseudomonadati; Bacteroidota; Cytophagia; Cytophagales; Fulvivirgaceae. The record is from RNAcentral.
AGUGACGUACGGGUGCGUAACACGUAUGCAACCUACCCUUUACAGGAGGAUAGCUCGGGGAAACUCGAAUUAAGCCUUCAUAGUAUAAUUGGAUGGCAUCAUUUGAUUAUUAAAACUGAGGUGGUAAAGGAUGGGCAUGCGUCUGAUUAGUUAGUUGGCGGGGUAACGGCCCACCAAGACGAUGAUCAGUAGGGGAACUGAGAGGUUGAUCCCCCACACUGGCACUGAGAUACGGGCCAGACUCCUACGGGAGGCAGCAGUAGGGAAUAUUGGUCAAUGGAUGGAAGUCUGAACCAGCCAUGCCGCGUGCAGGAAGACGGCCUUCUGGGUUGUAAACUGCUUUUGCCAGGGGCUAAAAAGCUCAUGCGUGAGAAAUUGAAAGUACCUGGUGAAUAAGCCACGGCUAACUACGUGCCAGCAGCCGCGGUAAUACGUAGGUGGCAAGCGUUGUCCGGAUUUAUUGGGUUUAAAGGGUGCGUAGGCGGCUUUGUAAGUCAGUGGUGAAAUAUGGCAGCUCAACUGUCAGGGUGCCAUUGAUACUGCGGAGCUUGAGUACAGAUGAGGUAGGCGGAAUUGACGGUGUAGCGGUGAAAUGCUUAGAUAUCGUCAAGAACACCGAUAGCGAAGGCAGCUUACUAGGCUGUAACUGACGCUGAGGCACGAAAGUGUGGGGAUCAAACAGGAUUAGAUACCCUGGUAGUCCACACUGU